Molecule: ribosomal RNA, 440 nt
Filed under: uncultured bacterium
Lineage: Bacteria
Description: partial 16S ribosomal RNA
Rfam family: Bacterial small subunit ribosomal RNA
Source: RNAcentral
CCUACGGUGGGCAGCAGUGGGGAAUAUUGCACAAUGGGGGAAACCCUGAUGCAGCGACGCCGCGUGAGUGAAGACGUAAUUCGUUAUGUUAAGCUCUAUCAGCAGGGAAGAAAAUGACGGUACCUGAGUAAGAAGCCCCGGCUAACUACGUGCAAGCUGCCGCGGUAAUACGUAGGGGGCAAGCGUUAUCCGGAUUUACUGGGUGGAAAGGGAGCGUAGCCGGCAGUGCAAGUCUGGAGUGAAAGGCGGGGGCUCAACCCCCGGACUGCUGUGGAAACUGUACGGAUGGAGUGCAGGAGAGGUAAGUGGAAUUCCUAGUGUAGCGGUGAAAUGCGUAGAUAUUAGGAGGAACACCAGUGGCGAAGGCGGGUGACUGGACUGUAACUGACGUUGAGGCUCGAAAGCGUGGGGAGCAAACAGGAUUAGAUACCCUUGUAGUC